Molecule: unclassified non-coding RNA, 854 nt
Filed under: Hevea brasiliensis (rubber tree)
Lineage: Eukaryota; Viridiplantae; Streptophyta; Magnoliopsida; Malpighiales; Euphorbiaceae
Source: RNAcentral
UACACAAUAUUACAGAAGUGUCAUGGAAAAGUCUGCUUCUGGGAGUCUGCUUCUGGGAGUCUGCUUACUAAUAAAAAUAUAAGGUGCAUCCUGACUUGAACUAUGGUUUGACUUCUAUUUUCUGUAUUUGAUAAUUUGCAGUAUGUCUAGCAUUAUCAUUUUACAUAUUUUCUUAUGAUACAAAAACCUUUUGAUGGUAAGCAUGAACUGAGGUGAAUUAAAGCAUAUUAAAGUUUCUACACAUUGAUUGAGGGAGCCAAAACUGAAAGUUAACCUUCGGCUGAGUACUUUCAUCCCAUUUUCAUACACACAAAAGCAUCAUCAAUCCAUUUUCAUCAGCAAGACAACAACCCAUUUUCCUCAACCCUGAAGCCCAUCUAACCCGUUUUUCUCAACCCCUUUUCCUUCCCUUCCCUUCCUCGCCGCUGGUCCUCCACUUUCAUCAAUCAUCUGGCCGACAUGCAUGUGAUGGUAGAGAGCCGUCAUAAUGGAAGAUGGAAUAGAGGGUGCUGGGCAAAUCUCAAAUUGAGGAAGGGGAGAUGACAAGAUUGCGAUUUUGUUAAGGAGAGAGAUGGAGGGAGGGAGAGGCAGUGGAGAGCGUAGUGGCAAGGCCUCAACACAGGAGGGGAUGCAACUUGCAACUGGCGAGUUACCUGGAGCAGAAGAAAUCGAAAAGAAAGAGGCAACACUCGAAACAAUAAUGUGGGUAUGGCUGCGAUUGGGGAAGUGGGUUCAGAUUAAGUGGAAGUAUAUUUGUGAGAUGGAAACUGGGGGAAGCAUAAGAGGGAAUUACUGAGUAAUGCUUUCCUCCUACCCCAUUUGAUGAUUUAUAAGAUUAGAGAAUCCCCUGCUUC